CUGAUUUCCUGAAGCCAACUGGCUCUGAUGCAAAAGUGAAGUAAUUUCUUUCCUGUGAUUUAUUUACUGUCUGAUGAUAACCAAAAAUACUAUAUAGAAGGAUUCACAGCAAAUACUUCAGAAAAAUACAAAGCUAGAGGGACACAAGCUCUAGAAGAUCACUGAAAGAAUCUGCUCAGAAGUAUGAAGUUAAGCCCACAGCAAUCCGUCUACCAAGAACACGGCUGAGAUACACAAUGGAGAAGGGCACUGCCUGAUGGACAUGGGUCAUUAACUUUGUUCAUAUAUGCAAAAUUCUAGUGAAGAAUUAAGCUAGUAAAAAAAAAAAUGCCUUAA
Long non-coding RNA from Heterocephalus glaber (naked mole-rat), 336 nucleotides. RefSeq lists it as uncharacterized. The record is from RefSeq and is a predicted model, not a curated record. Lineage: Eukaryota; Metazoa; Chordata; Mammalia; Rodentia; Bathyergidae.